CAGCCGCCACGGGAAUACGUAGGGUGCGAGCGUUAAUCGGAAUUACUGGGCGUAAAGCGUGCGCAGGCGGCUAUAUAAGACAGAUGUGAGAUCCCCGGGCUCAACCUGGGACCUGCAUUUGUGACUGUAUAGCUAGAGUACGGUAGAGGGGGAUGGAAUUCCGCGUGUAGCAGUGAAAUGCGUAGAUAUGCGGAAGAACACCAGUGGCGAAGGCGGCUCACUGGACCGACACUGACGCUGAGGCGCGAAAGCGUGGGGAGCAAACAGGAUUAGAUACCCCCGUAGUCCCUGUCUCUUAUAC
RNAcentral lists this ribosomal RNA (301 nucleotides) under uncultured bacterium. Its description in RNAcentral is "partial 16S ribosomal RNA". It matches the Rfam family "Bacterial small subunit ribosomal RNA", at positions 509 to 807 of the family's 1533-position model. The record is from RNAcentral.